CCUACGGGAGACAGCAGUGGGGAAUAUUGCACAAUGGGCGAAAGCCUGAUGCAGCAAAGCCGCGUGAAGGAAGAAGGGUUUCGGCUUGUUAACUUCUAUCAACAGGGACGAAAGAAAUGACGGUACCUGAAUAAGAAGCCUCGGCUAACUACGUGCCAGCAGCCGCGGUAAUCCGGCGGGGGCAGGCGUUAUCCGGAAUUACUGGGGGUAAAGGGUGAGUAGGCGGCAUGGUAAGCCAGAUGGGAAAGCCUUGGGCUUAACCCGAGGACUGCAUUUGGAACUAGCAAGCUGGAGUACAGGAGAGGAAAGCGGAAUUCCUAGUGUAGCGGUGAAAUGCGUAGAUAUCAGGAAGAACACCAGUGGCGAAGGCAGCUUACUGGACUGAAACUGACGCUGAGGCACGAAAGCGUGGGGAGCGAACAGGAUUAGAUACCCUAGUAGUC
RNAcentral lists this ribosomal RNA (443 nucleotides) under uncultured bacterium. RNAcentral describes it as "partial 16S ribosomal RNA". It matches the Rfam family "Bacterial small subunit ribosomal RNA", at positions 338 to 795 of the family's 1533-position model. The record is from RNAcentral.